GGGUGAGUAACACGUGAGCAACCUGCCCCUGACUCUGGGAUAAGCGCUGGAAACGGCGUCUAAUACUGGAUAUGUGACGUGACCGCAUGGUCUGCGUCUGGAAAGAAUUUCGGUUGGGGAUGGGCUCGCGGCCUAUCAGCUUGUUGGUGAGGUAAUGGCUCACCAAGGCGUCGACGGGUAGCCGGCCUGAGAGGGUGACCGGCCACACUGGGACUGAGACACGGCCCAGACUCCUACGGGAGGCAGCAGUGGGGAAUAUUGCACAAUGGGCGGAAGCCUGAUGCAGCAACGCCGCGUGAGGGAUGACGGCCUUCGGGUUGUAAACCUCUUUUAGCAGGGAAGAAGCGAAAGUGACGGUACCUGCAGAAAAAGCGCCGGCUAACUACGUGCCAGCAGCCGCGGUAAUACGUAGGGCGCAAGCGUUAUCCGGAAUUAUUGGGCGUAAAGAGCUCGUAGGCGGUUUGUCGCGUCUGCUGUGAAAUCCGGAGGCUCAACCUCCGGCCUGCAGUGGGUACGGGCAGACUAGAGUGCGGUAGGGGAGAUUGGAAUUCCUGGUGUAGCGGUGGAAUGCGCAGAUAUCAGGAGGAACACCGAUGGCGAAGGCAGAUCUCUGGGCCGUAACUGACGCUGAGGAGCGAAAGGGUGGGGAGCAAACAGGCUUAGAUACCCUGGUAGUCCACCCCGUAAACGUUGGGAACUAGUUGUGGGGUCCAUU
Molecule: ribosomal RNA, 715 nt
Filed under: Microbacterium sp.
Lineage: Bacteria; Bacillati; Actinomycetota; Actinomycetes; Micrococcales; Microbacteriaceae
Description: bacterial SSU rRNA
Rfam family: Bacterial small subunit ribosomal RNA
Source: RNAcentral